Molecule: ribosomal RNA, 430 nt
Filed under: Pseudomonadota bacterium
Lineage: Bacteria; Pseudomonadati; Pseudomonadota
Description: Proteobacteria bacterium partial 16S ribosomal RNA
Rfam family: Bacterial small subunit ribosomal RNA
Source: RNAcentral
UGGGGAAUAUUGGACAAUGGGCGAAAGCCUGAUCCAGCCAUGCCGCGUGUGUGAAGAAGGUCUUCGGAUUGUAAAGCACUUUAAGCGAGGAGGAGGGUACUGGUAUUAAUACUACCAGCUACUGGACGUUACUCGCAGAAUAAGCACCGGCUAACUCUGUGCCAGCAGCCGCGGUAAUACAGAGGGUGCGAGCGUUAAUCGGAAUUACUGGGCGUAAAGCGCGCGUAGGUGGUUCGUUAAGUUGAAUGUGAAAGCCCCGGGCUCAACCUGGGAACUGCAUCCAAAACUGGCGAGCUAGAGUAGGGCAGAGGGUGGUGGAAUUUCCUGUGUAGCGGAGAAAUGCGUAGAUAUAGGAAGGAACACCAGUGGCGAAGGCGACCACCUGGGCUCAUACUGACACUGAGGUGCGAAAGCGUGGGGAGCAAACAGG